UAGUCCACGCCGUAAACGAUGUUCACUAAAUGUUGGGUCUGCUUGCAGAUUCAGUGUUGUAGCUAACGCGCUAAGUGAACCGCCUGGGGAGUACGGUCGCAAGGCUAAAACUCAAAGAAAUUGACGGGGGUCCGCACAAGCGGUGGAACAUGUGGCUUAAUUCGACAAUACGCGAGGAACCUUACCUAGACUUGACAUGUACUUGCUACCCUUAGAAAUAAGGGGUUCUGGGUUUACUCAGACGAGUACACAGGUGCUGCAUGGCUGUCGUCAGCUCGUGUCGUGAGAUGUUGGGUUAAGUCCUUUAACGAGCGCAACCCUUGCCGCCAGUUGCUAAUCUUCGGAUGCACUCUGGUGGGACUGCCUUGGAAACAGGAGGAAGGUGGGGAUGACGUCAAGUCCUCAUGGCCCUUAUGUCUAGGGGCUACACACGUGUUACAAUGGCAGGGUACAACAGGGAAGCGAUGCCGCGAGGGCU
This 478-nucleotide ribosomal RNA is filed under the name uncultured bacterium. Its description in RNAcentral is "bacterial SSU rRNA". It matches the Rfam family "Bacterial small subunit ribosomal RNA", at positions 791 to 1265 of the family's 1533-position model. The record is from RNAcentral.